UGGAUAACCUACCUCGAGGUGGGGGAUAACCCGGGGAAACUCGGGCUAAUACCGCAUAUGACUGCAAGGUCAAAGGGGGCCGCAAGGCUCUCGCCAUGAGAGGGGUCCGCGUACGAUUAGCUAGUUGGUGUGGGUAAUGGCCCACCAAGGCGACGACGGGUAGCUGGUCCGAGAGGAUGACCAGCCACAUUGGGACUGAGACACGGCCCAGACUCCUACGGGAGGCAG
Molecule: ribosomal RNA, 228 nt
Filed under: uncultured bacterium
Lineage: Bacteria
Description: partial 16S ribosomal RNA
Rfam family: Bacterial small subunit ribosomal RNA
Source: RNAcentral